GGUUAUCCAUUGAGCUCUGGAUUUCUGAUGCAGUAUCUGCUCCUCAAUAUUGCUCCACCUCUCCACCUCCAUAAGCAGCAAUUUCUCCUGGUCAAUCAACCAUUUAUCCAGGAAAUUUGAUUGCAGUUGGACUUGAAUGGUUUCAAGUUUCUGCCUUGCCUCAUUUAGGUGUACUCUAUACUUAGCCAUAUAUGAAUUCAGCUCCUUUAAGUCCAGUUUUAAGGUCUUCAGUUUACUCCAUAUUCUGUGCA
Molecule: long non-coding RNA, 251 nt
Filed under: Nicotiana benthamiana
Lineage: Eukaryota; Viridiplantae; Streptophyta; Magnoliopsida; Solanales; Solanaceae
Description: long non-coding RNA (NBEN_LNC009897)
Source: RNAcentral